CCCUGUAGAGGGGGAUAGCCUGGAGAAAUUCAGAUUAAUACCCCAUAUUAUCAUUGUAUCACAUGUUAUGAUGAUGAAAGCCUUGGCGCUACAGGAUGGUCAUGCGUGACAUUAGCUAGUUGGUGAGGUAACUGCUCACCAAGGCAACGAUGUCUAGCUGGUCUGAGAGGAUGAUCAGCCACACUGGGACUGAGACACGGCCCAG
This 205-nucleotide ribosomal RNA is filed under the name uncultured bacterium. RNAcentral describes it as "partial 16S ribosomal RNA". It matches the Rfam family "Bacterial small subunit ribosomal RNA", at positions 129 to 334 of the family's 1533-position model. The record is from RNAcentral.